Molecule: ribosomal RNA, 469 nt
Filed under: uncultured bacterium
Lineage: Bacteria
Description: bacterial SSU rRNA
Rfam family: Bacterial small subunit ribosomal RNA
Source: RNAcentral
AAUGAACGCUAGCGAUAGGCUUAACACAUGCAAGUUGAACGCAUACAGUUGUAUGAGUGGCAAACGGGUGAGUAACGCGUGAGAUAUCUACCUUACAGCCCGGUACAACUCUUUAAAAAGACCAAUCCCGGAUAUCUCUCUUUUUGAAAAGAAAGGGGUUAAAGGCAAAGAACCGCUGUAAGAUGAGCUUGCGUAGGAUUAGGUAGUUGGUAAGAUAAAAGCUUAUCCAAGCCGAUGAUCCUUAGCUGGUCUGAGAGGAUGAUCAGCCACACUGGGACUGAGACACGGCCCAGACGCUUUCGAGCGGCAGCAGUGAGGAAUUUUGGACAAUGGGCGAAAGCCUGAUCCAGCUAUAUCGCAUGAAUGAAGAAGGCUCAAUUGGUUGUAAAGUUCAUACUUUCAUUGUAGAUUAUGACAUUGAUGAAAGAAAUAGUCCCGGCCAACUCCGUGCCAGCCGCCGCAGUAAAAC